Bombus terrestris (buff-tailed bumblebee) is the source of this 739-nucleotide long non-coding RNA. RefSeq lists it as uncharacterized. The record is from RefSeq and is a predicted model, not a curated record. NCBI's taxonomy places the organism in Eukaryota, Metazoa, Arthropoda, Insecta, Hymenoptera, Apidae. The transcript has 3 exons.
CUUGCCGGUAAAUACAUACGCUCUCCACUGGUCAACUUAUGGGCGACGAAGCAGUUGGCAACAUUGCUAAAAAAUCUCGACCCCUUGAUCCUUCGUGCCAGAUUCCAAUGAUCGUGUUUUUCUUUACCGCUUCCGCAGAUCGACGGUGAUCCUGUCUGUAAGUGAACAAUACUGGAGAUUAUUCAAACGACAGAUUGAGUGGCUGAUUUGUCAUUGCGCGCCAUUUGGUUUUCGACCUAAUGUGAGUGUGCGUGCAAGUACGCACUAUUCUUCACGUUGCCCCGUAAAUCGAAAGUGCACAGUCUGCAGUUGGUCGCUAGUGCUGUCAUCUUCCGCAUGCAAGGACCCCUUAUGCACCGACCUGUUACGCAAAUCUUUGCAAUUCGAAAUUAGUCGCAAAGAUAUUCGUCGCGAAAUUAUUGCAUCGUUUGCGACAUCCAUGUCUCUUGAGCGAUCUAUGAAAACCCGCCAUUAUGAUACUAUGCAACUGGCCAUUUCAAGUUGAACGCAUAAUUUUUGUUGAGACCGAUCGAAAUGUUAACUCAUUAAAGAUUAAACGAUAAAAUAAGGUAAAAAUUGUAAAAAAUUUGUAAUAUUAUAGGAUAUUAAUUGGACAUUACAAUAUCAAUGGGAAAUGUAAUAUUUUUGGAAAAUAUAAAUGAAGUAAUUUAGGUACAGUGAAGGACAAGAGUAUUCGUACAAUUGGAACGUAAAAAUAAAAAUGGCUGAUAUAAAACAA